Molecule: unclassified non-coding RNA, 1218 nt
Filed under: Hevea brasiliensis (rubber tree)
Lineage: Eukaryota; Viridiplantae; Streptophyta; Magnoliopsida; Malpighiales; Euphorbiaceae
Source: RNAcentral
AAUUAUUAUAGACAAAGUACAAGAUUACAUUAAUAACGACUAUAUAUAUGCUUCAUGUUUAUUCAUUUGCUAUAAGCAGAUAGGUAAGGUGUAGAUAAGGUGUACAAUUUUCCUUCGCAUGCAUGCCUGCAUGCCUGCUUCUAAGUAAAGUUUAAAAAGAAGAAAUUACAAAUAUAUAUUAUUUAUAUAUAAUAAUAAUAAUGAUUUUAGUCAAAGGGGCCAUGCUGAGUUAAAAUAAUUACAAGGUUCCCCAUGCCCUUCUCUUCCUAUCUUCUCCAUCUCUUGUACUUCAUAUGCAUUUGUCCCCUGAAUUGUUUCUAUGUUGUCCCUCUCCGAGUUGAAAUCAUAGUACAUACUAGCUGCUGAAAGCUUCAUAGAGAGAAACUCAAUUUGAUUCUGGAGUGAUUGAACAUAAUUAAUGAUGACAUCCAGCAUUACUGCCAUUCCCAUUGUCUUAUAACAUCCUGGAACCAGGUCCUGUAAGUGCCUAAGCUUCUCAUUGAUUUUCUCUCUUCUUACCUACAACAACACAGAAAUAUGUUUCGGUUCAGUUGUUUUUUUUGUCCUUUCCCUUGCCUAAAUAACAAAUUAAUUAAACAGACAAAUUUAAUAUGUAUUGCUUAAUUGCUUUGUACAGUGAAAGAACUACUGGCUCACUUCCUAAUGAGCAACUUGCAUUUUUAGAUUGCAUUUUCUAGUUCAAGCAUGAUGAAUUUGAGAAAACAUUUAAUUUUACAUGCAAAUAUGAUUAUUUAUUCAAUAAUUUUUUUAACCCAAAAAAAAGGUACUACCCUUUCUGCUAAACUGUGACUAUCUGUAGCUUGGCCUCUUUUAGCUCUCACAUGAACUACUUCUGUUGGUUUCUGCAAAUCUUUCUCAUCCUUUCUCUUUCGUUUUCUUCCUCCAAAGUUCCUCAUAUUUUCACUCUGCCCUGUUCCAGAAACUGCAGCAGGAGGAGGAGGAGAUACGUGCAGCAAGCUUUGGAUAUUAUUAGCGAAGUUCAUAGGGAGAUGCGGUUGCUGUUGAUGAUUGGAGAAGCUGCUGCAAUUGGAGAAGGCUACAAAUUGAUCUUGAUCAUCGGUUGAGCUAAAAUUCUCUAAUGCUCUCUGGUUAAUAUUCCCUAUCAACAGCAAAUUUGAAGAGUUGAUUCCUGAGAAAGAGGGCUUAAGGUUUUGUAGCUCCCCAGUAAACUCAUGAGCCAUCUGAUUCUGAAUAAAU